Molecule: transfer RNA, 73 nt
Filed under: Diaphorina citri (Asian citrus psyllid)
Lineage: Eukaryota; Metazoa; Arthropoda; Insecta; Hemiptera; Psyllidae
Rfam family: tRNA
About the family: Transfer RNA (tRNA) molecules are approximately 80 nucleotides in length. Their secondary structure includes four short double-helical elements and three loops (D, anti-codon, and T loops).
Source: Rfam by way of RNAcentral
GCCUAGUUAGCUUAGUUGGUAGUGCGUCUGCCUUGUAAGCGCUAGGCCGCGGAUUCGAUUCCCGUCCGGGGCG